AUACCCUUCACUCUUGCUGCUAUCUUUCGGUCCCAGAUCACCCCUGACACUCAUCUCUGCACACCCCACUUUGCCUGUACAGUCUUCUUCAACUCUUAUGCAGUUUUCGUUGGUUUUGAUGGUUGACCCCAGGUAUUUAAACUCAUCAGCCUUCACACCUCUACCUCUUGCAGCUUCAGUGUUACACAUAGAUGAUUAUAGAUGGCAUUCCAUUGAUGCCUGCUACAUGCCCUCAAAAUACCAGAUAUUAGGUAUAAAAAAAAUCGUUUUGAUUAUGUUAUACUAAGGGCUCACACAUUUGCAUAAAUACAAGUUCCAGUAACUUGGUUACCCACUUACCAAUAAAGUUGACUUCGCUGCUGUUUAACCUCAUUAGCAUGUCGAUAUGUUGAUUGGACAGGAUGUCUUUGGUCCCUCCCCUGUUGAAACACAGCCUUUAAUCCCUGGUAAUCUCCUCAUCUACUGAGAGCCCACAGUCAUGGCUGCACCAGAGGAAAAUUUGCUGUCUCUUGGGCGUCUGAACGGCUCAGAAAAAAACACUUUCACCAAAGAAAGACAAUUCUGUGGAAAUAAGAGUGUUAACAAGCCGGUAUUGUUGCAAGAUGACCCUUCAGCUCUUCACAGUCAGGAACAUCUAGUGAUGCACCUGCAGCAACGCUGGCAGGAGCUGAAGGAAAGAGAGUACACAGCGCAGCAACAAAACAGGCAGCUGCUGCAGCAGUUUGAGAGAGCCCAGGACACACUGAAAGAGAUGCUGGCCCGCAAUGCUGCCAUGAAAAUGAUUCGGAUGGAGUAUGAGAGAUACCUGGAGGAGAACUCCCCCCGCUGGCAGCAGCAACUUAAGGAGAAGAGACAGGCAGCUCAGAAGAAGAAAAUGGACGACUAUUUGAAGUCAUGUUUAAAGAACACGGACGUGAUGAAAUCUUCUGCAGGUCCACCCACGGAGCCACAAAAAACUGCUACACCUCAAGGUUACACUGACUACAACCAAGAUGGCUCCUCCCAUCUUCCCCACACACGGUCCUCCUGGUUGAGCCGCAGUCAAUCCCAGAUAGCCAGAUUUCCUACCAGAGUUCCACCCAUCAUUCCUCACCCAUAUCCGCUUUACUAUCCCGCCUCCGCACCCGGACAGUACCAUCAUCCCUGGCCAAGGCAAGAUCUACAAGGCAGGGCUUCCCUACAGCCUGACUACCCCUGGUACCUGCCUGCUGGUGCAACUGGAACUCCAUCAUACUCCGAGGCCCUGUGGGGCCAGCUUUAUAUGGAGGAGCCUUUACGUGACUCAAGGGUUUCGCAGACUGUAGGAGAGGAGGAUAAAAUGAGCAGAGUGCUGAGCUCACAGAGGGAGAGGAGUGUCAGAAGCAGCAGCAGUCGUUCGUCCCACGAGUUAGACGUUAAACCAGGUGAAAAGAGAAUACAUAAAAAUAAAUACUUUUCUUACAUGAGACUUUGUGCGUAUUCAGCAUGUGUGUGGACUUGUGUUUUGUGUUCGUACAUUCUGUAUCCAGUCCGUCUGUCCAGCAGUCACAGUGAGAGCAGUGAGAGUGGCAGGGACUCCAGCAAAAAGGCGGGGAAGGAGGAGAAGGGAGGAAGAAAACAGCGUGUCUCUUCAGACAGAGAGAGAUGCAGCCCUCAGGAGUUAUCUGGGAAUUCGAGUGCCAUUUUCAGUCCCACAGUUGGAGUGGCCCAAAGUUCAGAAAGCAAUGACUCGUCAGAGAAAAGCCUGAGGAGCAGUAGCAGAAGGACAAAGAAAACUGGGGAUCUUUCUGUUCAAUCACCAGGAUCUCAGAAGGAGGCAGAGGAAAGGACUGUGAGUAAGGGAGGUGACUCCGAGAUUCAGGACACUGGUGAGGAGUCAGGAAGUUUGAGUGAGACAUACGAGGGUGAAAAAGCAGGGAAUCAAAAUCAUGAAGAGAAAACAAACAGAUGCAAAGAGUCAGGAUCCCAGAAGGAGAAGGAAUCAGAAAGUGACAGUGCAAAGAAUAAAAAUGAUGAUGCCGGUGAAGUAGAAGAGCAGGACAGUAGCAGCGCUGAGCAAAGCAGCACAGGAGAAAAAGUUAAAGAUAAGACAGAGGAAAACCUGGAAGCUGAAGAAGACGGUGAAGAAAAAGAGAAGAGUCAAAAAGAUAAAGAACAAGAUGACUACGAUAUCAAACAAGGUGAUGGUGCUUCUGCCAAGGACGCAACAGAGGAGGAAGCAGAGACAUCUACAGAUGAUGAAAUAGAGGAGCAGGGAGGUGAAGAACAGUCAAUCAGGCUGAAGAACGAAGGCACUGAGAACAGAAAACAGGGUGCUGCCUCCUCUCAGGACGAAGAGGAUGGAAGUGAAGGCAGUGAAGAAGAGGAUGAGGACUCGAAUCAACAGGAGGAUGACAAAAGUGAGGAAGAGGAACACGGGAGUGAGGAAGAUCAGAUAGAUUCAGACAACUGCAUCGUCACACCACAAGAAAAGAGAUCUACACAGAUUAUAACUGAUGAGGCAGCUCAGGAACAGGAAGAGGGUAAAACAGGAUCUGAUAAUGAUGACUCAAACGAAGUCAGUGAUGAAGAUGAUAUUGAGAACCUUCUUGCGCCUCAAGAAGAAACACAGGAAAAAGAAAAGUAUCUGAGAGCUGAAGAGAAGCCCAAAGGUACAGUAUAA
Long non-coding RNA from Oreochromis niloticus (Nile tilapia), 2641 nucleotides. Lineage: Eukaryota; Metazoa; Chordata; Actinopteri; Cichliformes; Cichlidae. The record is from Ensembl.